UACGGAGGGUGCAAGCGUUAAUCGGAAUUACUGGGCGUAAAGGGUGCGUAGGUGGUUUGGUAAGUUAUCUGUGAAAUCCCCGGGCUCAACCUGGGCAGGUCAGAUAAUACUGCUGAACUCGAGUAUGGGAGAGGGUAGUGGAAUUUCCGGUGUAGCGGUGAAAUGCGUAGAGAUCGGAAGGAACACCAGUGGCGAAGGCGGCUACCUGGCCUAAUGCUGACACUGAGGCACGAAAGCGUGGGGAGCAAACAGG
Molecule: ribosomal RNA, 253 nt
Filed under: uncultured bacterium
Lineage: Bacteria
Description: partial 16S ribosomal RNA
Rfam family: Bacterial small subunit ribosomal RNA
Source: RNAcentral